Molecule: ribosomal RNA, 250 nt
Filed under: uncultured bacterium
Lineage: Bacteria
Description: partial 16S ribosomal RNA
Rfam family: Bacterial small subunit ribosomal RNA
Source: RNAcentral
GUCGAGUGGCGGACGGGUGAGUAACGCGUAGGAAUCUACCAAAUAGCGGGGGAUAGCCCGGUGAAAACCGGAUUAAUACCGCAUACGUCCUAAGGGAGAAAGGGUGCGACUUCUUCGGAAAGCACUCGUUGUCAGAUGAACCUGCGUCGGAUUAGCUAGUUGGUGGGGUAAAGGCCUACCAAGGCGACGAUCCGUAGCUGGUCUGAGAGGAUGACCAGCCACACUGGGACUGAGACACGGCCCAGACUCC